RNAcentral lists this unclassified non-coding RNA (525 nucleotides) under Anthoxanthum mexicanum. RNAcentral's name for it is "partial external transcribed spacer". Lineage: Eukaryota; Viridiplantae; Streptophyta; Magnoliopsida; Poales; Poaceae. The record is from RNAcentral.
CCACUUGCGUGGCAAGACAGAGGUAAACAGCCGGGCCAGUUGUCGCAGUUGAGCGGGCCAAGCUCGUCCUWCUUUAUGAGGGUCGGCACAGUAUGUUGCGUAUCCUACCACUAACUGUGGAGAGGUAGAGGCACCACAUGUUCCGGUUGUCGUCAUAUUCAGAGAGCAUUUGGAGUGUUAGAUCGCGGCAACCAGAAGGGCCACGAGCUAUAUCAUGAGCAACAUCCAAAACCAACAAGCGAGAGCAAGACUGCCAUGAUAGCACUAGGCACAAAAACAUGCCAGCACCACGAGGCAAUGCCGCAAUCGCCAUAUGGCCGCAGCAGCACACCCAAAGGCGUCCACCGCGAGGCAACCAUGUAUGAAGCMCCAAUACCCAUAGGUCAGGUAACAUCACGCAAGCACUUGAAAGGCAAAGUAAGAUAACUCACACGAAUGACAAGACACGGCGCCAGUAGUCGGCCGCACAAAGACGGGGGACCUACCAGCAGACACGUGUCCAAAACAGCUCAUGCGCUCGCGUAG